AGGACGAACGCUGGCGGCGUGCUUAACACAUGCAAGUCGAACGGAAAGGCCCGCUUGCGGGUACUCGAGUGGCGAACGGGUGAGUAACACGUGGGCAACCUGCCCUCAGCUCUGGGAUAACUCCGGGAAACCGGUGCUAAUACUGGAUAUCGACUUCUGCUCGCAUGGGUGGUUGUUGAAAGUUUUUCGGCUGGGGAUGGGCCCGCGGCCUAUCAGCUUGUUGGUUGGGUGAUGGCCUACCAAGGCGACGACGGGUA
This 257-nucleotide ribosomal RNA is filed under the name uncultured bacterium. RNAcentral describes it as "partial small subunit ribosomal RNA". It matches the Rfam family "Bacterial small subunit ribosomal RNA", at positions 26 to 285 of the family's 1533-position model. The record is from RNAcentral.